GCGCUGCAGCCAAUGGGAAGCGGCUGGGCGGGGCUGAGCCGGCGGUGGCAGCGAGGGGCAGCCAUGGCGGCACUGGCCGUGCUGGCGCUGCUGCUGCUGGCGGCCUGCGGCGGGCAGCGCGCGGCGGGGCAGAAGCGGAAGGAGAUGGUAUUAUCAGAAAAAGUGAACCAGCUGAUGGAGUGGGCUAGUAAGAGAUCUGUAAUCCGAAUGAACGGAGACAAGUUUCGACGCUUUGUGAAGGCGCCACCCAGAAAUUACUCUGUGAUCGUGAUGUUCACUGCUCUUCAGCCUCACAGACAAUGUGUCGUGUGCAAGCAGGCUGAUGAGGAAUACCAGAUUCUGGCAAAUUCCUGGCGAUACUCCAGUGCAUUUACCAAUAAGAUUUUUUUUGCUAUGGUCGAUUUUGAUGAAGGCUCAGAUGUGUUUCAGAUGCUAAACAUGAAUUCUGCUCCAACCUUCAUUAAUUUUCCUGCUAAAGGGAAGCCUAAACGAGGUGACACGUACGAACUUCAGGUGCGCGGCUUUGCAGCUGAGCAGCUUGCUCGUUGGGUGGCUGACAGGACUGAUGUCAAUAUUCGUGUGAUAAGGCCACCAAACUAUGCUGGACCGUUGAUGUUAGGACUGCUGCUGGCUGUCAUUGGAGGCCUUGUGUAUUUGCGUGGAAGCAAUCUGGAUUUUCUGUACAACAAAACUGGCUGGGCAUUUGCUGCUUUGUGUUUUGUGUUAGCAAUGACGUCAGGCCAGAUGUGGAACCACAUUAGGGGGCCACCCUAUGCUCAUAAGAACCCCCAUACAGGACAAGUGAGCUAUAUCCAUGGAAGCAGCCAAGCCCAAUUUGUUGCAGAAACGCACAUUGUUCUUCUGUUUAGUAUCCUUCUUCCUGAGAUGCAAAAAGCCUUCAAUUUUUCCACCUUAAACAGUGUCCGUAGAUGGUGGUGUUACUUUAGGAAUGGUUCUCCUCCAUGAAGCUGCUACUUCUGACCUGGAUGUGGGGAAAAGAAAAAUCAUGUGUAUAGCUGGGAUUGGCUUGGUGGUGCUGUUCUUCAGUUGGCUGCUCUCUGUCUUCAGGUCGAAAUACCACGGAUACCCGUACAGUUUCCUAAUGAGUUAAAGGAUUCCAGAAUGUAACAUCAGAAAGGCGGUGGCUCUGAAAUUGUGUGGGAUGGAAGGGAAGAGCUCAAUAUGUAUGGUUCAUGCUACCUCUCUUUACACUGAAUGAGAUAGUUAAACACUGAACCAAAGACAACGUGUAGUGCCUUAAAUAAAACAAGCAAUGUGCUCUGAAGGACAGAGUAUUAAGAUGCAAUCUCUCUCAUAAGCUUUACAUCUUCUGAAACAACUUUGAAUCUAACGAAGUUCUGAACUUUGUGUUUAGAACUACCGUGUUUCCUUAGACUAACCAGAAACAGUACUUUACAUUCAGUUGGAUAAUCUGUUUUCCAUGGUUUUCUUCCCCUCAAAUACUGACUUCUUAUUCACAUGUAACAGGUGAUGGUAGCUUUUCUGUCAUGCCUUUUCAUGGUUGAUGAGACCUCCUCAUGUACCUGCAUCUCUCUUCCUUCUGUCUGUGUUCAACUCUCGGAGCAUACUGCAGGUUCUGUUAUGGUAUGUGCGUGUCCUGGAGCUGGAUCUGAAUGCUGAGAAGAGCACGGAACUGCUGUAUGACACAAGAGAUCGUUUCACAGAUGAAGGAAGAAUUCUUCAUGUAGAAAUGACUCAUUAAAACUUAAAUUAACAUUUCACAGGGUGAUCUACUAAUGAGUUUUAUAGUUGAUAUUCAGGACUGGAAAAACAAAACAAACAAACAAAAAAAAAUAGGUGUAUUUAUUUGUUUUCCCCCCACUAAAUUACGAAAAUAUGAUAAACUCUGCCGUUCUUGAUUUGAUUGAAGUCUCUACUUGUUAUAUAGAAACUUGUUUAAUUAUUAAUUAAAAACUUUCUUUGCCAAAUACUGAAACUACAUCAGUUAGCUUGUAAGCACUGGCUUAGAGCUGAAAAAAUGUUCCCAUAGCAAUCCAUGCUUCCCUGCCCCACCACCCCCCUCAAAAAAAGAAAAAAGAAAAAAAA
Anas platyrhynchos (mallard) is the source of this 2067-nucleotide RNA transcript. It is a transcript of the gene named magnesium transporter 1, with no coding region annotated. NCBI's taxonomy places the organism in Eukaryota, Metazoa, Chordata, Aves, Anseriformes, Anatidae. The record is from RefSeq and is a predicted model, not a curated record.